UUUACUUACCUGACCUUCUAAGUGAAAAACAGGAGAAAACUGAGUCAACAGUUAACAAUUUAUUAAGUUUUCAGACAAAGACACUAAGUAACACUUGGAAGCACAGACUGUUUGUUGGGUGGUGGAGGCUAGGAGAGAGGGGACCAGGGGGUUGUCAUCACUACUGGGGUGAUCAACCAACUAUUCAAUCCCAGAACAGGAAUGAAUUCCACCCAAUGACUCAGCAGGCGCUGGACUCCAGUAAGACACACCUAGGUGUACACACCUGAGAGAGAGAGAGAAACAAAAACCCACAGCCAUCCUUUGGUGGGAGGAGUCCCACAUAAAUCACAAACAAUCACAACAUUGACUCAUCACAUGUUGGAGCUGGAGGUGCAGUCGUGGGUCAGCAGCGUGAAGAGUAGCGGGCUCAGCACACAUCCCCGGGGGGGUGGGCUGUGCUCAGUGUGAUGGUGUUGGAUCUUAUAUUUCCAACCUGUACUGUCUGGGGUCCAUCAGUAAGAAAGACCAGGAUCCUGUUGCAGGUGGAGGUGUUAAGUCUGAGCAGGUCCAGCUUGCCGAUCAGCUGCUGGGCAAUGAUGGUGUUGAAUGCUAAGAUGAAAUCAGUGAACAGCAUUCUUAGGUGGACGUUGCAUUGAUCCAGUUGUGAUAGGGCUAGGUGCAGUCGUGGGUCAGCAGCGUGAAGAGUAGCGGGCUCAGCACACAUCCCCGGGGGGGUGGGCUGUGCUCAGUGUGAUGGUGCUGGAUCUUAUAUUUCCAACCUGUACUGUCUGGGGUCCAUCAGUAAGAAAGACCAGGAUCCUGUUGCAGGUGGAGGUGUUAAGUCUGAGCAGGUCCAGCUUGCCGAUCAGCUGCUGGGCAAUGAUGGUGUUGAAUGCUAAGAUGAAAUCAGUGAACAGCAUUCUUAGGUGGACGUUGCAUUGAUCCAGUUGUGAUAGGGCUAGGUGGAGUGCCAAUGAGAUCGCAUCGUCCAUUGUCUUCGAACUGCGAGGCUGUAGCUGUCUUUGGUACAGGUAAGAUGGUGGUGGUUUUAAAGCACUUGGCACAACAGCUUGACUCAGGGAGAUGUUAAAGAUGCCCGCUAGGACAUCAGUCAGCUGGUCAGCACAGGCUCCGAGCACACGUCCGGGUAUAUUGUCUGGUCCAGCAGCUUUGUGUGGGUUGACUUUAGUGAGAGUCCUUCUCACACUGGCCGUGCACAGGGACAGCACUUGGUUGUCUGGCGAGGGGGUGGCCCUCUAUAGACAGUACUGCAUCCCAUUUAAAGAAGUGCGUGUUCACACUGCCCCUGGAUGUCCUGGCCUCUGAGGUUAAGGUGUACGGCUCCUGGUUGUAAACUGACCAAUUUAUCAUGGCAAAGGCUGUGGUGGAAAAAAGAUAAGAGGCUGAUUAUAAAAAUGAUCCAUGCAUGCCUUAUGACCUAUACAGCAUGUACAGAUAACAC
This is a long non-coding RNA of Oreochromis aureus, 1444 nucleotides long. Lineage: Eukaryota; Metazoa; Chordata; Actinopteri; Cichliformes; Cichlidae. The record is from Ensembl.